RNAcentral lists this ribosomal RNA (429 nucleotides) under uncultured Acidobacterium sp. Its description in RNAcentral is "bacterial SSU rRNA". It matches the Rfam family "Bacterial small subunit ribosomal RNA", at positions 958 to 1385 of the family's 1533-position model. Lineage: Bacteria; Pseudomonadati; Acidobacteriota; Terriglobia; Terriglobales; Acidobacteriaceae. The record is from RNAcentral.
AACGCGAAGAACCUUACCUGGGCUCGAAAUGCAGGAGACCGGGGUAGAAAUAUCCCUUCCCCGCAAGGGGCUGCUGUAUAGGUGCUGCAUGGCUGUCGUCAGCUCGUGUCGUGAGAUGUUGGGUUAAGUCCCGCAACGAGCGCAACCCUCAUCCCUAGUUGCCAUCGGGUCAAGCCGGGCACUCUAGUGAAACCGCCCCGGAUAACGGGGAGGAAGGUGGGGAUGACGUCAAGUCCUCAUGGCCUUUAUGUCCAGGGCUACACACGUGCUACAAUGGUCGGUACAAACCGUCGCGAAACUGCAAAGUAGAGCUAAUCGGAAAAAGCCGGCCUCAGUUCGGAUUGGAGUCUGCAACUCGACUCCAUGAAGCUGGAAUCGCUAGUAAUCGCAGAUCAGAACGCUGCGGUGAAUACGUUCCCGGGCCUUGUA